CAGCCGCCACGGGAAUACAGAGGGUGCGAGCGUUAAUCGGAUUUACUGGGCGUAAAGCGUGCGUAGGCGGCUUUUUAAGUCGGAUGUGAAAUCCCUGAGCUUAACUUAGGAAUUGCAUUCGAUACUGGGAAGCUAGAGUAUGGGAGAGGAUGGUAGAAUUCCAGGUGUAGCGGUGAAAUGCGUAGAGAUCUGGAGGAAUACCGAUGGCGAAGGCAGCCAUCUGGCCUAAUACUGACGCUGAGGUACGAAAGCAUGGGGAGCAAACAGGAUUAGAUACCCGUGUAGUCCCUGUCUCUUAUAU
Molecule: ribosomal RNA, 301 nt
Filed under: uncultured bacterium
Lineage: Bacteria
Description: partial 16S ribosomal RNA
Rfam family: Bacterial small subunit ribosomal RNA
Source: RNAcentral